RNAcentral lists this ribosomal RNA (459 nucleotides) under uncultured bacterium. RNAcentral describes it as "partial 16S ribosomal RNA". It matches the Rfam family "Bacterial small subunit ribosomal RNA", at positions 338 to 795 of the family's 1533-position model. The record is from RNAcentral.
CCUACGGGGGGCAGCAGUGAGGAAUAUUGGUCAAUGGCCGGGAGGCUGAACCAGCCAAGUCGCGUGAGGGAAGACGGCCCUACGGGUUGUAAACCUCUUUUGUCAGGGAGCAAGGUGCAGGUCGGGUCCUGUUGUGAGAGUACCUGAAGAAUAAGCAUCGGCUAACUCCGUGCCAGCAGCCGCGGUAAUACGGAGGAUGCGAGCGUUAUCCGGAUUUAUUGGGUUUAAAGGGUGCGCAGGCGGAUGCAUAAUUCAGCGUUAAAAUCGCGGUGCUCACCCCCCCACCGCCGUUGAAACUGUGUCCCUUGAGUACGCGAAGGGUAGGCGGAAUGCGUGGUGUAGCGGUGAAAUGCAUAGAUAUCACGCAGAACUCCGAUCGCGAAGGCAGCCUACCGGCGCGCAACUGACGCUCAUGCACGAAAGCGUGGGUAUCGAACAGGAUUAGAUACCCUUGUAGUC